UACAGGGGGUGCAAACGUUGCUCGGAAUCAUUGGGCGUAAAGCGCACGUAGGCGGUUUGUUAUGUCGGAUGUGAAAGCCCUUGGCUCAACUGAGGAAGUGCAUCCGAAACUGGCAGGCUAGAGUACUAAAGAGGAUCGCGGAAUUCCCGGUGUAGAGGUGAAAUUCGUAGAUAUCGGGAGGAACACCGGUGGCGAAGGCGGCGAUCUGGGUAGAUACUGACGCUGAGGUGCGAAAGCGUGGGGAGCAAACAGG
RNAcentral lists this ribosomal RNA (253 nucleotides) under uncultured bacterium. RNAcentral describes it as "partial 16S ribosomal RNA". It matches the Rfam family "Bacterial small subunit ribosomal RNA", at positions 524 to 776 of the family's 1533-position model. The record is from RNAcentral.